GGGGGUGUGGCGGAAUGGUAGACGCUGCGGACUUAAAAUCCGCUGAGCCUGAUAAGCUCGUGGGGGUUCGAGCCCCCCCACCCCCA
This 86-nucleotide transfer RNA is filed under the name Spirulinaceae cyanobacterium RM2_2_10. RNAcentral's name for it is "tRNA-Leu". It matches the Rfam family "tRNA". Rfam says of the family: Transfer RNA (tRNA) molecules are approximately 80 nucleotides in length. Their secondary structure includes four short double-helical elements and three loops (D, anti-codon, and T loops). Lineage: Bacteria; Bacillati; Cyanobacteriota; Cyanophyceae; Spirulinales; Spirulinaceae. The record is from RNAcentral. RNAcentral also lists the same sequence under 1 other name.